RNAcentral lists this ribosomal RNA (428 nucleotides) under uncultured bacterium. RNAcentral describes it as "partial 16S ribosomal RNA". It matches the Rfam family "Bacterial small subunit ribosomal RNA", at positions 354 to 796 of the family's 1533-position model. The record is from RNAcentral.
GUGGGGAAUAUUGGGCAAUGGGCGCAAGCCUGACCCAGCAACGCCGCGUGAAGGAAGAAGGCUUUCGGGUUGUAAACUUCUUUUACCAGGGACGAAACAAAUGACGGUACCUGGUGAAUAAGCCACGGCUAACUACGUGCCAGCAGCCGCGGUAAUACGUAGGUGGCGAGCGUUAUCCGGAUUUAUUGGGUGUAAAGGGCGUGUAGGCGGGACAGCAAGUCAGAUGUGAAAACCAGAGGCUCAACCUCUGGCCUGCAUUUGAAACUGUUGUUCUUGAGUGUCGGAGAAGUAAUCGGAAUUCCGUAUGUAGCGGUGAAAUGCGUAGAUAUACGGAGGAACACCAGUGGCGAAGGCGGAUUACUGGACGAUAACUGACGCUGAGGCGCGAAAGCGUGGGGAGCAAACAGGAUUAGAAACCCCGGUAGUCC